UCAUCUUUUAUUUAGGUUGAUAUUUCAAUGAUUAAAAAAGAUGGAACACUUUACAACUAAUUUUUAAUCUUUUUCUGUCCUUUGUAAUGAUAUUGAGAAUCUUUCAUGAUAUACAUAUAUGUAGUACUAAAAAAAAAAAACAGAGAAAAAGGAAAAUUUUUCCCCUUUUCUUCCCUCUCCUUUUACCCUUCUUUCCUAUCCUUCCUUCCUCUUCUAGUUUUCUUCCCUCUCCAUCACCGACGGCCUCCGCUCUGCGCGCCCCCCCCCACUCUCUCCCCCCCGCCUGCGCCGAACUGCUAUCACCGCCGCCAGCUUCUCGUCAUUCCCCUCUUAGCUGUCGCGCUACCUUCCUCUUCCUCCCUCCCCAGCUGCCGACGUCUGCAUAAAGAAAGGAGUUGUCAUCGUCGAAUCAACCAUUUGCUGAUGUCCAAUCACUCGUCCAACGUUGGAAUCGAGCUCCUCGCCACCGGAGACCCCCAAGUCGAGCUUCCCAGUCGUGAAUUCCUCGCCGGUAGCCUCGGUCAAGCCUCAUGGCGCAGCGCCUUUCCAGCCUCGAUUCGGUGUCUUCCGCCGAGUUUCCGACCAAAACUCUUAUAUUUUCGUACUCCUCGCAACUCAAGCUUCACGUACGCCCUUCCGGAUUUGAAUUACGAUAUUGUUGGCAGUACGGGUUUCCGGACCCUGGUGUUUUUUGACGCCAAAAAUUUUGUAUUUUCGGCUCGGUAUAAUUUUAUUUAGACCUUAAGAAUUAUUUUAUAAUUUUUGAAAAUAUUGUUGACUAUAAUCAUACUGUUUAUAAUUAUUAUACAUGUUAUGAUUGUGCUAUUGGGAUGAGGCGACAGUGAGACAUUGGCAUCUGAUGGGUUGCAUCAAGACCAUGUGCACACCGAUGAUAAUCUGAGGCGGGUAGUAACGAUUAUUUUUGAAUUUUGUCUGGUCAAGUAUAAUUCUUUGGGCUGUGUAAGUUUGACUGACGGAGGAAGGUCUCUGGUCGAGCGUUGCUCUCUGGGCGCCGGCUUAUUUGUGAUAAAAUGUCGAGGCUGGAUUUAAAGACCCUGGUUGAGCUUCACUCUCUAGGCACCAUACCUAUUGGAAUAAGAGAGCCGAAUACUAGUAUUGGGGUUAAGGUUCUGCUGAGGCACUCGUCCCAUAAGUAUUUAAAUUGUGACAGUUAGGAUUUUCCGCCGACUUGUGUUUGACAACCCGACUUCCUUCUCUAUCGGGCCUAUUGUAAAUAAUUUCAUAUUUUUAUAUUUUUAAUUAUUUUAAAUUCUAAAUUCUCCACAGUAGUAUACUUGAUAUGUUAUGUUUGAUCUGGUCUGUAAUAAAUUGUAGAGUGUUAUUAUUGUCCAGUUAAAGACUUGUGUAUGGCAUGUCAGAUGGA
Molecule: long non-coding RNA, 1384 nt
Organism: Ricinus communis (castor bean)
Lineage: Eukaryota; Viridiplantae; Streptophyta; Magnoliopsida; Malpighiales; Euphorbiaceae
Exons: 2
Source: RefSeq, a predicted model, not a curated record